RNAcentral lists this ribosomal RNA (558 nucleotides) under Bacillus sp. RK11. RNAcentral's name for it is "bacterial SSU rRNA". It matches the Rfam family "Bacterial small subunit ribosomal RNA", at positions 24 to 920 of the family's 1533-position model. The record is from RNAcentral. Lineage: Bacteria; Bacillati; Bacillota; Bacilli; Caryophanales; Bacillaceae.
GCAGGACGAAAGCUGACGGUUCACGCCGCGUGAGUGAUGAAGGUUUUCGGAUCGUAAAGCUCUGUUGUUAGGGAAGAACAAGUACCGUUCGAAUAGGGCGGUACCUUGACGGUACCUAACCAGAAAGCCACGGCUAACUACGUGCCAGCAGCCGCGGUAAUACGUAGGUGGCAAGCGUUGUCCGGAAUUAUUGGGCGUAAAGGGCUCGCAGGCGGUUUCUUAAGUCUGAUGUGAAAGCCCCCGGCUCAACCGGGGAGGGUCAUUGGAAACUGGGGAACUUGAGUGCAGAAGAGGAGAGUGGAAUUCCACGUGUAGCGGUGAAAUGCGUAGAGAUGUGGAGGAACACCAGUGGCGAAGGCGACUCUCUGGUCUGUAACUGACGCUGAGGAGCGAAAGCGUGGGGAGCGAACAGGAUUAGAUACCCUGGUAGUCCACGCCGUAAACGAUGAGUGCUAAGUGUUAGGGGGUUUCCGACCCUUAGUGCUGCAGCUACCGCAUUAAGCACUCCGCCUGGGGAGUCCGGUCGCAAGACUGCACCUCAAAGGACUUGACGGGGGC